This 78-nucleotide transfer RNA is filed under the name Lysobacterales bacterium. RNAcentral's name for it is "tRNA-OTHER". It matches the Rfam family "tRNA", at positions 18 to 71 of the family's 71-position model. Rfam says of the family: Transfer RNA (tRNA) molecules are approximately 80 nucleotides in length. Their secondary structure includes four short double-helical elements and three loops (D, anti-codon, and T loops). Further hydrogen bonds mediate the characteristic L-shaped molecular structure. tRNAs have two regions of fundamental functional importance: the anti-codon, which is responsible for specific mRNA codon recognition, and the 3' end, to which the tRNAs corresponding amino acid is attached (by aminoacyl-tRNA synthetases). tRNAs cope with the degeneracy of the genetic code in two manners: having more than one tRNA (with a specific anti-codon) for a particular amino acid; and 'wobble' base-pairing, i.e. permitting non-standard base-pairing at the 3rd anti-codon position. The record is from RNAcentral. Lineage: Bacteria; Pseudomonadati; Pseudomonadota; Gammaproteobacteria; Lysobacterales.
GUUCGCCGGUGCUUGCUGAUGCUCUAGAUCAAGGGACUCAUAAUCCCUUGGUUCCAGGUUCGAAUCCUGGUGGGACCA